RNAcentral lists this ribosomal RNA (472 nucleotides) under uncultured bacterium. RNAcentral describes it as "bacterial SSU rRNA". It matches the Rfam family "Bacterial small subunit ribosomal RNA", at positions 355 to 825 of the family's 1533-position model. The record is from RNAcentral.
UGGGGAAUAUUGGACAAUGGGGGCAACCCUGAUCCAGCCAUGCCGCGUGAGGGAAGAAGGCCUUCGGGUUGUAAACCUCUUUCGGGCGGGACGAAACGGGGCGCACGAAUAGUGCGUCUUACUGACGGUACCCGCAGAAUAAGCCCCGGCUAACUUCGUGCCAGCAGCCGCGGUAAGACGAAGGAUGCAAGCGUUAUCCGGAUUCAUUGGGUUUAAAGGGUGCGUAGGCGGACCAGUAAGUCAGUGGUGAAAUCUCUUUGCUUAACAAAGAAACUGCCAUUGAUACUGCUAGUCUAGAGUAUAGAUGACGUUGGCGGAAUAUGACAUGUAGUGGUGAAAUACUUAGAUAUGUCAUAGAACACCGAUUGCGAAGGCAGCUAACGAAACUAUAACUGACGCUGAGGCACGAAAGUGCGGGGAUCAAACAGGAUUAGAUACCCUAGUAGUCCCUGAGCGGGCUGGCAAGGCGCAU